UGGGGAAUAUUGCGCAAUGGACGAAAGUCUGACGCAGCGACGCCGCGUGUGGGAUGACGGUCUUCGGAUUGUAAACCACUGUCGGGAGGGACGAAUACGCCGCAGGGCGGGUGACGGUACCUCCAAAGGAAGCACCGGCUAACUCCGUGCCAGCAGCCGCGGUAAUACGGAGGGUGCGAGCGUUGUCCGGAAUCACUGGGCGUAAAGGGCGCGUAGGCGGCCUGAUAAGUAGGGGGUGAAAUCCUGCGGCUUAACCGCAGGGCUGCCUUCUAAACUGUCAGGCUCGAGCACAGUAGAGGCAGGUGGAAUUCCCGGUGUAGCGGUGGAAUGCGUAGAGAUCGGGAAGAACAUCAGUGGCGAAGGCGGCCUGCUGGGCUGUUGCUGACGCUGAGGCGCGACAGCGUGGGGAGCAAACAGGAUUAGAUACCCUGGUAGUCCACGCCGUAAACGAUGGACACUAGGCGUCGGGGGGAGCGACCCUCCCGGUGCCGUCGCUAACGCAGUAAGUGUCCCGCCUGGGGAGUACGGCCGCAAGGCUGA
Molecule: ribosomal RNA, 540 nt
Filed under: uncultured bacterium
Lineage: Bacteria
Description: bacterial SSU rRNA
Rfam family: Bacterial small subunit ribosomal RNA
Source: RNAcentral